GCCAGAGAGGGUCGCAUGAGCCUAUAGUCCCAGCUACUUGGGAGGCUGAGGUGAGAGGACUGCUUGAGCCUAGGAGUUCUGGGCUGUAGUGCACUAUAACCAUUGGGAGUCCACACUGAAUUCAGCAUCAAUAUGGUGACCUCCCAGGAGCGGUGGACUACCAGGUUGCCUAAGCAGGAAUAAACAAGCCCAGGUCAGCCAAACUCCUGUGCCGAUCAAUAGUGGGAUACCUGCUUGUGAAAAGCUACUGCACUCCAGCCUAGGCAACAUAGCAAGGCCCUGUCUCUU
Molecule: unclassified non-coding RNA, 288 nt
Organism: Callithrix jacchus (white-tufted-ear marmoset)
Lineage: Eukaryota; Metazoa; Chordata; Mammalia; Primates; Cebidae
Rfam family: Metazoan signal recognition particle RNA
About the family: The signal recognition particle (SRP) is a universally conserved ribonucleoprotein. It is involved in the co-translational targeting of proteins to membranes. The eukaryotic SRP consists of a 300-nucleotide 7S RNA and six proteins: SRPs 72, 68, 54, 19, 14, and 9.
Source: Ensembl